CUUACACAUGCAAGUCGAACGGCAGCACGGACUUCGGUCUGGUGGCGAGUGGCGAACGGGUGAGUAAUGUAUCGGAACGUGCCCAGUAGCGGGGGAUAACUACGCGAAAGCGUAGCUAAUACCGCAUACGCCCUACGGGGGAAAGCAGGGGAUCGCAAGACCUUGCACUAUUGGAGCGGCCGAUAUCGGAUUAGCUAGUUGGUGGGGUAACGGCUCACCAAGGCGACGAUCCGUAGCUGGUUUGAGAGGACGACCAGCCACACUGGGACUGAGACACGGCCCAGACUCCUACGGGAGGCAGCAGUGGGGAAUUUUGGACAAUGGGCGAAAGCCUGAU
RNAcentral lists this ribosomal RNA (337 nucleotides) under Pseudomonas sp. ARI_2. RNAcentral describes it as "bacterial SSU rRNA". It matches the Rfam family "Bacterial small subunit ribosomal RNA", at positions 48 to 387 of the family's 1533-position model. The record is from RNAcentral. Lineage: Bacteria; Pseudomonadati; Pseudomonadota; Gammaproteobacteria; Pseudomonadales; Pseudomonadaceae.